This 4732-nucleotide long non-coding RNA is filed under the name Sus scrofa (pig). RNAcentral describes it as "lncRNA (ENSSSCG00000049553.1, ENSSSCG00055002353.1, ENSSSCG00065015832.1)". The record is from RNAcentral. Lineage: Eukaryota; Metazoa; Chordata; Mammalia; Artiodactyla; Suidae.
CAUUUCUACUCAGACGAAAAGUCAGUUAUCUACUAUUUCUGCCCAUAAUACUAACAUUGUUAGCACUGCUUUCUUUGCCUGCAUGUUCAAGUCUAUAGUUGACAGCUAUUGCCUCUAACUGUGAUCCUUACCUCUUUGGUUUUCUGGAUCUCAGCUCCAAUCCCCUUUCUUUGCAGUUUGAUUUGUGCUCACUGGUAGAUGUGCUACUGUAAAAUGCAAAAGACUGCCAUCCUGUCACCACUUAGACCUCGGCAGCUGAGAAACAGGUGGUUGAGGAGGAAAUACGAAGAACAUUUCUUGGAGAUUUUAAAAGAAAAAAGAAUGUUUUUUUUCAACUCCAUGUAGAACAAAAACUGCUACAAUUUUGCAUAAUUUAAAAUUUCUAUGGCCUAAUUGAGUUAUCUCAAUUAAAAACACAAUGAGAAAAUUUCAAUAGAAAAAUUGCCAGAGAAGAAAUAAUUAAAAUAAUUACUAUGUUUAAGAGGAAAUUUUCUGAACUGAGCAUAUUGUUCACAUUAAAAAUCUCAAAUCAUUAUAAUCUACAGUAAUCAUUUCCUUCACAUUGCAAAUACACAAUAACUACUCUGUUCCUAAAUUGGAUGUGGCCUCUUUUGGUAAAGGAAUGGUAGCUCCCCCAAACAGGACAGCUUGAAUGUACUGAUGCCAAGCAUGCCAUGGUAAUUGUUCAGCUGCCCCCAGUUAUUAUAUUUGAUUACAAACCCUACCAAAGAUGGCAAGAAUUUUCUCCCCUGGAGGUAGGAACUUUCAAAGGAUUCAGGAGCUUGGCCUUAUAUCAAAGAGUAUGAUUGGUUACUAAAUACACAGUUGUUAUAUAUUUUGAUAUUAUCACCUCUAUUAGGAAAUUUACAUAGAAUCACAUAAGCAUUUUGUUUCAUAACUUGCUCUAAUUUUCAUUCAUUUGUGUCCUAGGAAAGAAAAAGGACAUUGUGCAUUUAUGAUAAUAUCACAUCUAGUACUACACUGGGCAUAGCAACAUGAGCCAAGGGAGAGGUUUAAAAAAUCUCAGCCAUAAAAAAGAACAACGUAAUGCCAUUUGCAGCAACAUGGAUGGAACUAGAGACUCUCAUACUGAGUGAAAUAAGUAAGAAAGAGAAAGACAAAUACCGUAUGAUAUCACUUAUAACUGGAAUGUAAUAUAUAGCACGAACAAAUGUUUUCACAGAAAAGAAAAUCAUAGACUUGGAGAAUAGACUUGUGGCUGCCCAGGAGGAGAGGGAGGGAGUGGGAGGGAUCAGGAGCUUGGGGUUAGCGGAUGCAAACUAUUGCUCUUGGAAUGGAUUUGCAAUGAGAUCCUGCUGUGUAGCAUUGAGGACUAUGUCUAGAUACUUACAUCGCAACACAACAAUGGGAGGAAAAAGUAUGUAUACAUGUAUGUGUGACUUGGCCUCCAUGCUGUACAGUGGGAAAAAAUUAAUAAAUAAUACUGUAAGGAUGAUAUAGGGGGUCUACAAAGGUAGGAAAUGAGGACAGAUAGGCAAGUUUGGUGCUAAGUCUAUGAUGGCCACAAAAAGAGAUGGGACAAGGCACAGAAAGGCAAAAAGAAUGUAAAUCUGCAAAGGUCAUAAGCAAAGAACAAGUGAGUCUUUAAGAGCUAUAUCCUUUAAAGAGGUCACAAUACCUGAUUUUAGGGCAAAUAUAUCCUCAGUCCUGUGGUGAUAUAGUCAUGUAAAAACUAACAGGUGCAAGAUAUAAUGAGAGGAUAUGCACUGCAGUGAAGCUUACAAUGAAAAGAAAGCACUAGUUCCUCUAAAGAUCUUUUAUAUAGGUGAAAUUUUCCUUUUCCCUUUUUUGGGGGGUGGGGGAAAAUCCCUACUUAUUAUUUCCCAAUGUUUUGGCAUUGAGCAACAGCAGUACAAGAUAUAUUGACCUUGAAGUCUCUAAGUAGAGCAAAGAAGCCCCAGUGUAUAUUAUUUUCCCUCAUCGUGAGAGAAAAAUAAUCACUGCAUUUGUUGAGCACUGUUUUGGUUAUCAAUUACUAUGUAAUAAAUUACCCCAAACUUAAAAUCAUAGUGGCUUACCUUAAAACUUUGUGGCUUAAGAAAACCAUUAUCUCUCGAAUUGACCUGGCACACUUGAGUGGGGGAUUCUUCUCUUCCAUGUAGAGUUGACUAGGGCUGCAGUUCUCUGGAGGUUUGACUGGCCUGCAGUAUUCAAGAUAGCUCACUCCCAUGGUGCUUGGUACUGCCUAUUAGCUGAGAUGGGACUGUCAAACCAAGUACCUUGGGUUUCCUCCACAUAACCUUAGUAUCUGGCUUGGGCUUCUCAUGGCUCAGUGGCUGGACUGAAAGAAGGAACGUUUCCAGCUGAGAGUGAAAGCUGAAUAUCUCCUAAGGCCCAGCCUUGGAGAUUAUACAGCAACAUAGCUGCUGCAUUCUUUUGGCCUAAGCAAGUCACAGGAGUGGCUCAGAUUCAAGGGGGGGAGAAAUAGACUCCAUUGUUCGAUGAGAGGCAUGGCAAAGAAUGUUGUAGCCAUCUUUAUUUCACUGAGACUACCUACUAUGUUCUUAGCAUUCUGGUAAGCGCUUUAUCCACUAUAAAUUAUAUAAACCUCAGAACCACAGACCUUGUUAAAUACCAUUAUCCUCAGUUGGUCAAUUAGGAAAUUUGAUGAUUGGAGAUACUCAUCUGUAGAGUUAAUAAAUAGGUGAAAUAGGAUUUGGAUCCAAGUCUGUCUCCACAGCCCCAGUAAGCGAUAGAGUAUAGAGAUGACAACUGCUUAUACAUUUAUUAAGAAUGUUGUAUGGUUCUAUUAGUAGAUCCCAAACUGUUGAGUCCUCUUCCCCAGUCCUUUUAAGAUUAUUGUUUUGUUUUGUUUUUUAAAGUUAUAAAGGCUACAUUGGCUAAAUUGUCCAAAAAUUUCCAAAAUAACAAUUUUCUAUACUAGUUCACUUUGCUUCUCCUGGUUCUUCCCAGUAAAUGUGUGUGCAGAGUUCUUGCCACUCAGAAAAUUACAAAGAAAGAUUAGGGAAAAUUACAUGCCUCUACAUUUUUCAGUCAUGGCCAGUUCUGGCCUGAUCAAAUAUACUUAAUGAUAGAGCCCUAUAGAAAUGUGCCUAGCUGAAUUGAAAGUAACUAUUAUUAUGAUUAAUUUAAAUCCAAAUGAAUUGUCCUAUAAAAUAUGCAUAGACAUCUAAAAUUUGAAGCCCAUAAAAAUGAUUCCCUUAAAUCAUUUUCUUUGAGUAUUUUGUCCAUUUCUGAUUCUGUUUUUAAGACUAGAAAAACUGUGUGAAGAAAAGGAGCCUUCAGUCAAAAGUAGUUUUGUUCAUAGAAACAGCUGGCUGACUGGGUAUCUUUUCUGCAUCAGUUUACAUUUCCACCAUAUAGAUCAAUUAUGUGACUGUCACUUAUGAAAGAGAGUUACAGAAAAGUUGGAACCGUUUGAAGCUUUGAAACUCAUUUGCAAGGAAAGAUUAAAAGACUAGUGUGAUUUAGUUUCACCUUGAGAAGAAAAGAUUGGGGGGGGGGGAAGUACUUCCACUGAGAGGAAGAAUAUCUACAUUCUGUUGCAAGACAGACAUAUUUGAAUGUGUUGAAAUGAUAGUGGGAUGGUUAGACUCCUAUACAGGUAAACUUUACCAGGAGCAAUAGUGUGAAGUGCUGGACUAGACUUUGAAAUAAGGAGGUACUCUUACCACUAGCUCUUUUACAAACAAUGAAGAUUCUCAUAUUAUUUGUGAUGUUGAGGGAACGGAUUCUGCAUGAAGGCAUGGAAUUGGAGGCAUUUGUCUGCAAAAGUUCUGGUGGCUUAUGAUUUUAUGAAAUGUUUUUGAGUAUGUAUCUUUGGGUGACUGCUUGGGAAUAUGAAAGCCAGCAAAAUUAGCUAGAUUCCUCAAGGCCAUUGGCUGAAUCUGUGAUAAUAAAACAGAGGGUACUAGAAGAUGACCUCUUCCUUCUUUCUUUAGGAGAUUCUACCCUUUGUAGAAGGAUAAAAGGAAAAAGGAAAUGAAGAAAGAAUAGAAAGUCAGGAUGAUCUAACUGCAUUCAGUAAUCCAUCCAAGCUCUUUAGAAAUGUAGCAGUAUAAUUUUCCUGUUUUUGGUCAAGAAUAGUUCAGUGCAGAUAUUCAGCAAAUAUCAGGCUUUGGAGUCCUCUCCUGAGUCUUCUGUUUCAUGCAGGGAGAAUGGAGGAGGACAUACAGAAUUGUGGAGCAGAUCUAUAUGAGUCCUGACUUCUGCCAAACAUUCAUUAGUCUGAAUUCAGUCAUAUGACUAUAUCUUAUCACAAGAGAGACUAGUACAUGUAAACUGAACUGUGUGCCCAGGAUGUGUGUGUGUGUGUGUACACGUGCAUGUGUGCACACUCAUGCACAAGUGGGAGAAAAAGUGACAAAGCAAAGAACAGAUUUAAACAGACUUUCUUUCAAGGUACUUGUUAAGCAUGAGCUUUGGCACUGCCAGUGUAAUACUAGAAUGGAUUAGUACUUCAAGCACAAGACCAUUUUUUAAUUCUUUAAAAAUAUACUCUAGGAGUUCCCAUCGUGGCGCAGCGGUUAACGAAUAUGACUAGGAACCAUGAGGUUGCGGGUUGGGUCCCUGCCCUUGCUCAGUGGGUUAACGAUCCGGCCUUGCCUUGAGCUGUGGUGAAGCUUGCAGACGCAGCUCAGAUCCAGCGUUGCUGUGGCUCUGGUGUAGGCUGGAAGCUAUAGCUCAGAUUAGACCCCCUAGCCUGGGAACCUCCAUAUGCCGCAGGAGCGGCCCAAGAAAUAGCAAAAAG